AUUCCAUAAAUAUUCAUCACUAAUUACAAUUUUUUUUAUUAAAAUGGAUUUUUUCUACAAAGCCAAAGCUGUAAAAUUAAAAAGUCAUCUAGACAAAUACCUUGUAGCCGAUGAUGAUCAAGAAAAUAUCCGACAAAGCCGAAACGGCUCAUCAAGAAAAGCCCGGUGGCUUGUUGAACUUGUUGAAGCCGAAAACAGCCACUUUAUACGGCUUAAAAGUGGCUCCGGCAAGUAUCUCACGGCUUCCGACGAGCCGUUUCUUCUUGGCAUGACCGGAAAAAAGGUAAUUCAAACUUUGCCCGAAAAAUUGAAGGACUUGAGAAUCGAAUGGGAAGUAAUAAGGGAUGGAUUUCAAGUAAAAUUAAGGGGUUUUGGAGGAAAAUAUUUACGUGCAAAUGGAGGAAUGCCACCAUGGAGAAAUAAAGUAACACAUGAUAAUCCAUAUAGUGGUAGUACACAAAAUUGGAUUUUGUGGAACGUUGAACCUAUUGAUGUGCCCGAAAAUGAAUCGUUGACGGAAUAUUUAACUAUGGUCUCAAGUUUUUCAUCGAUUUCUGAUGAACUUUUAAGUCUGGAUUUAGGAUCUCCGACUUCUGUACAUUCAAAUUUUUCUUUCUCACCUAGGAGGGCUAAGAUUUCUUUACCAAAAAGAUCAG
RNAcentral lists this unclassified non-coding RNA (656 nucleotides) under Hevea brasiliensis (rubber tree). Lineage: Eukaryota; Viridiplantae; Streptophyta; Magnoliopsida; Malpighiales; Euphorbiaceae. The record is from RNAcentral.